UCGUGGGACUUCCUAAAGUUCUAAAACCCCCCAAGACGAAAACGCAAAACCCUUAAAACAAAACGAAGCCCCUCAUUGUCCCUGUUCAACCCAAAGCCAUGUCAUCAGCCGCCGCCGCCACAGCCGUCAGGUCCGUCCUUCGCUCCUCCUCGUCCCGAACCGCCGCAGCAGCGAGGCUCACCGCUGGCGCUGGAGCCAGAGCCAGAGCUAGAGCCAGACCCACGUGCUCACCAUUUCGCAUCCCCAAACAAAACCCUCUCGCACAUCGCAUUUUCAGAUCGCCUGUGGAGAUGAGCUUCUGUGUAGAAACGCUGCUUCCGUAUCACACCGCCACUGCUUCCGCAUUGCUCAACUCCAUGCUCUCCGUCUCUCGCUACGGUUGGACCCCUGAAGAUUGCAAUGAUGAUGUAUGAUGAACGUCAGAGGGUUCGAGCAAAGUUUUAUGUACAUGCACUCUAAGGCAAGAUGGGUGAUUGUUGUUGGGGUGCCGAACAUUGAUCAUAAUUUCCUCGAGUUUCGAUGGACUUUGCAAGACUUGAUUGGGACAUUAUUCUCGUUGGCCGGAUUUGAAAAACACAAGGUUAAAAUGUUGCUCAUCAUAAUGAGAUUAAAUUGUUCUUAUAUAUUCAAACACUUAACAUACAGGCUUGAUGAACUUUUUUUCGCUAUCAUUUUACUGCUUAUCGUUGUAAUCCAGUAAUGUCUAUUAGCAUGCCAUGCCGCCCGUCUCAUAAAAGGAAGAGUUGACUUUUU
Juglans microcarpa x Juglans regia is the source of this 753-nucleotide RNA transcript. It is a transcript of the gene named protein NUCLEAR FUSION DEFECTIVE 6, mitochondrial-like, with no coding region annotated. Lineage: Eukaryota; Viridiplantae; Streptophyta; Magnoliopsida; Fagales; Juglandaceae. The transcript has 4 exons. The record is from RefSeq and is a predicted model, not a curated record.